RNAcentral lists this long non-coding RNA (2057 nucleotides) under Ailuropoda melanoleuca (giant panda). Its description in RNAcentral is "lncRNA (ENSAMEG00000025280.1)". The record is from RNAcentral. Lineage: Eukaryota; Metazoa; Chordata; Mammalia; Carnivora; Ursidae.
AUGGGAGAAGGGGAAGGAUCUAACAGGCAGUGCGAAAGUCCUCAACAAUCAUGCAAGCCAAAACUAAAGCAGCGAGGACACAGGGUAGACAACCAUCUGGGAGCCAAGGAUUUCCUGACAAGGUCGGAAAUGGAAGGAGCCUUUCUUCAGCCUCAGGCCAGUCCCUGCAAACUUAAGACCACAAUACACUGGCCGGCGUUAACUUCCCGGACAGAAAAACCACACCCACUAAGUCUUUNCCCCCCCCCCCCCCCCCCCCGCCCCGCAACCCUCUUCUCUCAAACACAGAGGAGAGAGGAGAACGGGCGUGCUGGCUUGGGGUCAGAAGUGAGCAGUUCUCCAGGCAGAGGAGGAAGACCAAGAAGGCAGGAGCUACCCCCUUCCGGCAUGAUGGAUUCCUGGGAUCCCAGAAGAGCUGGGCAGGAAGGGACCUCGAAAAAGGAACUACCAACACGUGCCCCGUGUCAGGCCCUGAGCCGCGCACUUUCGUGAGCAUUGUCCUAACACACCUAACUCUACUUGGAGAUAGGUAUCAUUAUCCCCAUUUUCCAGAUGAGAAAACCGAGGUUUAGUGACUUCCCAAGGAGGGGCGAGGAUUUUGUAUGACUUCAGAGCCUCUUCCCUGGAGUCCUCACGACCUGGAAGAUACCGAUUCCAUGACGUUUGGGGCAACAAGCAUCGGGUGUGAGAGGCCCAAGCUUUCCGAGGGACGACAGCGUGAUGGUACUUUCGGCGAGGGCCACGCCUCCCUUGUGGCGACAAUACUGAUUACUCUUGCUUUCCUUUAACAGCCUUACCCUUAAAUAUGAAGAAGUCCUUGCCACACGUGGGGGCGGACAUCAUAUAUUCCUUAGAUCUCCCGACAUCUUUCUCCCUCACCCGCAUUAAGCCCCACUAGUGACAUAAAUUCUCCCCCUCCACUAGCGAGUGAAGCCGUGGGACUACAAUUCCCGGCAGGUCUUUCAGAAAGAGGUGGUGGGGGAGAGGAGGACAGACACUCUCGCUUUCCGUAGGCUCGCCAUUUGGCGUGUCCGCCGUGAUGCACAUUUCAACAGCCCACGUCCUUUCUCUGGGGAGCUAAGGAAGGGACUACGACCCCCAGCAGGCACUGCCGCAGAGAGCAAGUGAUGGGCCGCCAUCAUCAUUGUAGUCCUUUAGCUCGUUUCCACAAGGGAACAGCCUUAGUGCGCGGACUACAAAUCCCAGCUCGCCGUCUCCCCUUCCCUUCGGCCGCCAUCUUUGCCGGUUGUCCCCGCCCCUUUCCCCUUCCCAUUGUCUCCACCAAAGAUAAUAGAGCGGACCUGGGAAGACUGCAACUCCCGUCAGGCUCUGCGCCACCGGGAGGGUGAUUGCGAUGUUACAGGCGGGCGAGGUGCCCAAGGUGGUAGAAUGAGGCGACGGGGAGAGGCCAGGUAGCCUGCCAUCUUUAUGGUAGUCUCCUUAUUCUCGUGGUUCCGCCAUUCUCACGGCACACUAGAAGGCCAGAAAACUACUAUUCCCAUCGCACCUCAUAAGACCGACUACUAGUCAGGUGUACGCCCCUCUUCCGCCAUCUUGCUUGUAGUCCUCGUUCCUUUUCACCUUUCCAUUGUUCCUGACGAGUAGAAAUGGCAGCGGGAAGGCAGCAGAUGGACUGCGACUCCCGUCAGGUACCACACACGCGGAGGGUUGUGGACAGGAGGGCGUGUGAGUGCCUGGGAAGGAGGUCGGGUCGGGGGAGAAGGCCAUCUUGUUUGUAGUCAUCGUUCCCGCUCCUUCUCUAUCCUCUGCAACGGGGAGCCUCGGGGCAACCGGACUAUAACUCCCGGCAUCCUCGGCUCCCGGCUUGGCACGCCCUCCGCCAUCUUGUUUGUAGUCCCCGCUGGCCCCAGCAUCCCCUUGUUCCCACGGUAUCACCGGCAUCCGCAGGACUACGAUUUCCGUCGUGCCCUGCGUGUGUUCGUCCUGGAAAGUGGAGGUGGUGGGGAAAGGAGGGGGCAGGGGGCGGGGUUCCUCUGGGAGAAGGAGGGAGUAAAGAGGAGGAGGAGGAGGGAAGGAGGAGGGAGGGGUGGGGGAAG